AUACGGAGGAUGCAAGCGUUACUCGGAAUCACUGGGCGUAAAGCGCGCGCAGGCGGUCUUUUAAGUUGGAUGUGAAAGCCUACGGCUCAACCGUAGAACUGCAUCCAAAACUAUUAGACUAGAGUGUGGGAGAGGAAGAUGGAAUUAGUUGUGUAGGGGUAAAAUCCGUAGAGAUAACUAGGAAUACCAAAAGCGAAGGCAAUCUUCUGGAACACUACUGACGCUGAGGCGCGAAAGCGUGGGGAGCAAACAGGAUUAGAUACCCUUGUAGUCC
This 274-nucleotide ribosomal RNA is filed under the name uncultured bacterium. RNAcentral's name for it is "partial 16S ribosomal RNA". It matches the Rfam family "Bacterial small subunit ribosomal RNA", at positions 523 to 796 of the family's 1533-position model. The record is from RNAcentral.